This 478-nucleotide ribosomal RNA is filed under the name uncultured bacterium. RNAcentral's name for it is "partial 16S ribosomal RNA". It matches the Rfam family "Bacterial small subunit ribosomal RNA", at positions 28 to 523 of the family's 1533-position model. The record is from RNAcentral.
GACGAACGCUGGCGGCGUGCUUAACACAUGCAAGUCGAACGGUAAGGCCCUUCGGGGUACACGAGUGGCGAACGGGUGAGUAACACGUGGGUGAUCUGCCCUGCACUUCGGGAUAAGCCUGGGAAACUGGGUCUAAUACCGGAUAGGACCACUGCCUGCAUGGGUGGUGGUGGAAAGCUUUUGCGGUGUGGGAUGGGCCCGCGGCCUAUCAGCUUGUUGGUGGGGUGAUGGCCUACCAAGGCGACGACGGGUAGCCGGGCUGAGAGGUGAACCGGCCACACUGGGACUGAGAUACGGCGCGGACUCCUACGGGAGGCAGCUGUGGGGAAUAUUGCACAAUGGGCGCAAGCCUGAUGCAGCGACGCCGCGUGAGGGAUGGCGGCCUUCGGGUUGUAAACCUCUUUCAGCACCGACGAAGCGCAAGUGACGGUAGGUGCAGAAGAAGGACCGGCCAAGUACGUGCCAGCAGCCGCCGUAA